GAUCAAUUGGCGCAGUGGCAGCGCGCGUCUGCAAGAUGGAUGAGACGCAGGUUCAAUUCCUACAUUGAUCA
Molecule: transfer RNA, 71 nt
Filed under: Ascocoryne sarcoides NRRL 50072
Lineage: Eukaryota; Fungi; Ascomycota; Leotiomycetes; Helotiales; Gelatinodiscaceae
Description: tRNA-Leu (AAG) (tRNA-Leu-AAG-2-1)
Rfam family: tRNA
About the family: Transfer RNA (tRNA) molecules are approximately 80 nucleotides in length. Their secondary structure includes four short double-helical elements and three loops (D, anti-codon, and T loops).
Source: RNAcentral